CCUACGGGACGCAGCAGUAGGGACUAUUGCACAAUGGGGGCAACCCUGAUGCAGCGACGCCGCGUGAGUGAAGCAGUAUUUCGUUAUGUAAAGCUCUAUCAGCAGGGAAGAACCUGACGGUACCUGCUUAAGAAGCCCCGGCUCACUACGUGCCAGCAGCCUCGGGAAUACGUAGUGGGCACGCGUUAUCCGGAUUUACUGGGUGUAAAGGGCGCGUAGACGGCAGCAACAGUCUGGAGUGAAAUGCCGGGGCUGAACCCCGGAACUGCUUUGGAAACUGUGCAGCUAGAGUGCAGGAGAGGGAAGUGGAAUGCCUGGUGUAGCGGUGAAAUGCGUAGAUAUCAGGAGGAACAUCGGUGGCGUAAGCGCUUUACUGGGCCGUAAUUGACACUGAGGAACGAAAGCCGGGGUAGCAAAUGGGAUUAGAUACCCGUGUAGUC
This 440-nucleotide ribosomal RNA is filed under the name uncultured bacterium. RNAcentral's name for it is "partial 16S ribosomal RNA". It matches the Rfam family "Bacterial small subunit ribosomal RNA", at positions 338 to 795 of the family's 1533-position model. The record is from RNAcentral.